RNAcentral lists this long non-coding RNA (264 nucleotides) under Vitis vinifera (wine grape). RNAcentral's name for it is "long non-coding RNA (VVIN_LNC000620)". The record is from RNAcentral. Lineage: Eukaryota; Viridiplantae; Streptophyta; Magnoliopsida; Vitales; Vitaceae.
UAAAUCUCAUUAUUACAUUGUCAAAGUCUGAGGUUUGCUACUGUUUCCCUGAUUCGGUAUCUCCAUGGUAGGCAGAAUGAAAAUCUGGAAGGUCAGAACUCAUGGAGAACCUGAGCCAUCUCUUUUUCUCAGCAUAAAGGAGACAAGGCUGCAUAACAAGCCCAAUCAUCACAGCCAAGAGACUAAUAACCAUGACUUUGAAAGAAGCAAGAGCUAAUACCACACAAAUCAAUAAGGUUGGGGGUAUACACAUCAAAAUUGCUC